UGCAUGUUUCUUUCUGGUAAGGUUAAAGAAAUUGCCCGGCCGCUGAGAGGUGUUAUGCUUCUCUACUAUGAAGUUAAGUUACUCAUAAAAAGGAUACUGCACAAGUUCAGAGAAUCAAGCAGAAAGCAUCCCACAAGGAAAAAACCAGUUUGUGACCUUGUAUGAAUUCUGCACUGGGGGAGUUAAGCGGCUCCUUGUCUACGAGUAUCCGGAGAGCAUGCAUUAUUUGCGUCAGCACACAUGUGGACCCAUGGACCGUGCACAAUGGGUCACAUGCUUAGGUUGGUUGUGAACCCAAUUACCUGCUAAUAAGGCGCGUAAUCGUUCGAACUCUUUUGUUCCACUUAAAGCCCAAUUUUUGCCAAUCAUGUCACCCCUCAUUGGCAAAAAUUUUAAAUUUUAAAUCUUGAAUUCUUGAAUCAAUUCUUGAUUCAUCGGCACGUUU
Molecule: long non-coding RNA, 445 nt
Organism: Rosa rugosa (rugosa rose)
Lineage: Eukaryota; Viridiplantae; Streptophyta; Magnoliopsida; Rosales; Rosaceae
Exons: 3
Source: RefSeq, a predicted model, not a curated record